Non-coding RNA from Salmo salar (Atlantic salmon), 55 nucleotides. Lineage: Eukaryota; Metazoa; Chordata; Actinopteri; Salmoniformes; Salmonidae. The record is from Rfam.
UGUAUUCACUCACUGUAAGUUACUUUGGAUAAAAGUGUCUGCUAAAUGGCAUAUA